AACUCCGUGCCAGCAGCCAAGGUAAUACGGAGGGUGCAAGCGUUACUCGGAAUCACUGGGCGUAAAGGGCGCGUAGGCUGAUUAUCAAGUCUCUUGUGAAAUCUAAUGGCUUAACCAUUAAACUGCUUUGGAAACUGAUAGUCUAGAGUGAGGGAGAGGCAGAUGGAAUUGGUGGUGUAGGGGUAAAAUCCGUAGAUAUAACCAAGAAUACCCAUUGCGAAGGCGAUCUGCUGGAACUCAACUGACGAUAAGGCGCGAAAGCG
This 263-nucleotide ribosomal RNA is filed under the name Campylobacter jejuni. RNAcentral's name for it is "partial 16S ribosomal RNA". It matches the Rfam family "Bacterial small subunit ribosomal RNA", at positions 499 to 761 of the family's 1533-position model. The record is from RNAcentral. Lineage: Bacteria; Pseudomonadati; Campylobacterota; Epsilonproteobacteria; Campylobacterales; Campylobacteraceae.